Molecule: non-coding RNA, 776 nt
Filed under: Aphrophora alni (alder spittlebug)
Lineage: Eukaryota; Metazoa; Arthropoda; Insecta; Hemiptera; Aphrophoridae
Source: RNAcentral
UUAAAGUUUGAUUCUUGCUUUAAAAUUUGUUUUAUCAUUGAUUUACAUGUAAAAUUAUUUGUGUUUAAAUUGAUCUAAAUGAAUUUUUUUUAUUCGCAGUAAUUAGUUCUAUCAUUUUUUUAUUUAAGUAUGAUGAUGUUAAUUGAUUAUUUGUUUUGAUAAAUUUUGUGCCAGCAAUCGCGGUUAAACAAUUAUUACAAAUUAAUUCAUUUUUCUUUUAGUUAUUUAUAAUUUUAUUUAAUUUUAAUUUUAAUUUAAUUGGGUGAAAUUUUUAUAUUUUAUAUAUUUUACUUUUUUUAUAAUUCUGAGAAAUUCUUUAUUAAACUAGGAUUAGAUACCCUAUUAUUUUGAGCUUAAAAAUUUUGAAGUUGAAGAUUAAUAGAUAUGACCUUUAAAUUUAAAGAAUUUGGCGGUAAUUAAGUCUUUUUAGAGGAACCUGUUCUGUAAUUGAUAAUCCACGAUAGAUUUUACUUUAUUUAUAUUUGUAUAUCUCUGUCAUUGAAUGUAUUAUUAGAUUAUUUUCUUUUAUCUUAUUAAGGAAAAAUGUUAGGUCAAGGUGCAGUUUAUAUUAAAGUAGAAAUGGGUUACUAUAUAUAUAUAUAUAUGAAUUUAAAUUUGGAACUAAAUUUUUUGAAAUUGGAUUUAAAAGUAAUUUUAAUUAGUUUAAUUAUUUUGAUUUUAGCUCUUAAUUAUGUACACAUCGCCCGUCGCUCUCAUAAAUUUGGGAUAAGUCGUAACAAAGUAGUUUUACCGGAAGGUGAAUCUAGAAAGAUUAA